This 348-nucleotide ribosomal RNA is filed under the name uncultured Rhodoferax sp. RNAcentral describes it as "bacterial SSU rRNA". It matches the Rfam family "Bacterial small subunit ribosomal RNA", at positions 1033 to 1382 of the family's 1533-position model. Lineage: Bacteria; Pseudomonadati; Pseudomonadota; Betaproteobacteria; Burkholderiales; Comamonadaceae. The record is from RNAcentral.
CACAGGUGCUGCAUGGCUGUCGUCAGCUCGUGUCGUGAGAUGUUGGGUUAAGUCCCGCAACGAGCGCAACCCUUGUCAUUAGUUGCUACAUUCAGUUGGGGCACUCUAAUGAGACUGCCGGUGACAAGCCGGAGGAAGGUGGGGAUGACGUCAAGUCCUCAUGGCCCUUAUAGGUGGGGCUACACACGUCAUACAAUGGCUGGUACAAAGGGUUGCCAACCCGCGAGGGGGAGCUAAUCCCAUAAAGCCAGUCGUAGUCCGGAUCGUAGUCUGCAACUCGACUACGUGAAGUCGGAAUCGCUAGUAAUCGUGGAUCAGAAUGUCACGGUGAAUACGUUCCCGGGUCUU